AGGAAAGAAAAAGAAGAAAGAAAAAAAGAAAAAGGAAAGGAAAAAAAGAAGAAAAAGGAAAGAAAAAGAAGAAAAAAGAAAGAAAAAGAAGAAAAGGAAAGAAAAAGAAGAGAAGGAAAGAAAAAGAAGAAAGAAAAAAAGAAGAAAAGGAAAGAAAAAAAAGACAGUUAAGUAUUCUUUGUACACAAUUAAGUCUUUCCUGCACACAGACUUAAUUGUGUCCAGAGAAUACUUAACUGCGUACAGAUAGCACUUAACUGUGUGCAUCACACAGUUAAGUAUUCUCUGUACAUAAUUAAAUCUUCUUUGCACACAGUUAAGUGUUCUCUAAAUCACACAGUUAAGUAUGUGCAGAGAAGAUUUAAUUGUGCGCAGAGAAGAUUUAACUGUAUGUAUUACACAGUUAGGUGUUCUCAGGGGCG
Molecule: long non-coding RNA, 422 nt
Filed under: Phoenix dactylifera (date palm)
Lineage: Eukaryota; Viridiplantae; Streptophyta; Magnoliopsida; Arecales; Arecaceae
Description: long non-coding RNA (PDAC_LNC015272)
Source: RNAcentral